ACAAUAUGUGCUAGCUGAUCCAGCCAUGCCGCGUGUGUGAAGAAGGUCUUCGGAUUGUAAAGCACUUUAAGUUGGGAGGAAGGGUUGUAGAUUAAUACUCUGCGUUUUGACGUUACCGACAGAAUAAGCACCGGCUAACUCUGUGCCAGCAGCCGCGGUAAUACAAAGGGUGCAAGCGUUAAUCGGAAUUACUGGGCGUAAAGCGCGCGUAGGUGGUUUGUUAAGUUGGAUGUGAAAUCCCCGGGCUCAACCUGGGAACUGCAUUCAAAACUGACUGACUAGAGUAUGGUAGAGGGUG
This 298-nucleotide ribosomal RNA is filed under the name uncultured Pseudomonadaceae bacterium. RNAcentral describes it as "partial 16S ribosomal RNA". It matches the Rfam family "Bacterial small subunit ribosomal RNA", at positions 368 to 660 of the family's 1533-position model. Lineage: Bacteria; Pseudomonadati; Pseudomonadota; Gammaproteobacteria; Pseudomonadales; Pseudomonadaceae. The record is from RNAcentral.